AUUGAACGCUGGCGGCAUGCCUUACACAUGCAAGUCGAACGGCAGCAUAGGAGCUUGCUCCUGAUGGCGAGUGGCGAACGGGUGAGUAAUAUAUCGGAACGUGCCCUAGAGUGGGGGAUAACUAGUCGAAAGACUAGCUAAUACCGCAUACGAUCUACGGAUGAAAGUGGGGGAUCGCAAGACCUCAUGCUCCUGGAGCGGCCGAUAUCUGAUUAGCUAGUUGGUGGGGUAAAAGCUCACCAAGGCGACGAUCAGUAGCUGGUCUGAGAGGACGACCAGCCACACUGGGACUGAGACACGGCCCAGACUCCUACGGGAGGCAGCAGUGGGGAAUUUUGGACAAUGGGGGCAACCCUGAUCCAGCAAUGCCGCGUGAGUGAAGAAGGCCUUCGGGUUGUAAAGCUCUUUUGUCAGGGAAGAAACGGUUCUGGAUAAUACCUGGGACUAAUGACGGUACCUGAAGAAUAAGCACCGGCUAACUACGUGCCAGCCGCCGCCGCCA
Molecule: ribosomal RNA, 502 nt
Filed under: uncultured bacterium
Lineage: Bacteria
Description: partial 16S ribosomal RNA
Rfam family: Bacterial small subunit ribosomal RNA
Source: RNAcentral